AGCCUAUUAGCUCAAAAUGGUAGAGCAUCGUGUGUUGACACACGAAGAUGUAGGUUCAAGUCCUACAUAGGCUA
This 74-nucleotide transfer RNA is filed under the name Spinacia oleracea (spinach). It matches the Rfam family "tRNA". Rfam says of the family: Transfer RNA (tRNA) molecules are approximately 80 nucleotides in length. Lineage: Eukaryota; Viridiplantae; Streptophyta; Magnoliopsida; Caryophyllales; Amaranthaceae. The record is from Rfam by way of RNAcentral.